AGUGAACGCUGGCGGUAGGCCUAACACAUGCAAGUCGAACGGCAGCACAGUAAGAGCUUGCUCUUACGGGUGGCGAGUGGCGGACGGGUGAGGAAUACAUCGGAAUCUACUUUUUCGUGGGGGAUAACGUAGGGGAACUUACGCUAAUACCGCAUACGACCUACGGGUGAAAGCAGGGGAUCUUCGGACCUUGCGCGGUUGAAUGAGCCGAUGUCGGAUUAGCUAGUUGGCGGGGUAAAGGCCCACCAAGGCGACGAUCCGUAGCUGGUCUGAGAGGAUGAUCAGCCACACUGGAAGUGAGACACGGUCCAGACUCCUACGGGAGGACGCAGUGGGGAAUAUUGGACAAUGGGCGCAAGCCUGAUCCAGCCAUACCGGGUGGGUGAAGAAGGCCUUCGGGUUGUAAAGUCCUUUUGUUGGGAAAGAAAAGCAGCAGGUUAAUACCCCGCUGUUCUGACGGUACCCAAAGAAUAAGCACCGGCUAACUUCGUG
This 492-nucleotide ribosomal RNA is filed under the name uncultured bacterium. RNAcentral's name for it is "partial 16S ribosomal RNA". It matches the Rfam family "Bacterial small subunit ribosomal RNA", at positions 29 to 507 of the family's 1533-position model. The record is from RNAcentral.